AAUUUCUGCUGCUCCGCAUUCGUUCCUUUUUGGUUUCGUUUGCGUUGUGGCUUUUUUCUGGUUGAUUUGGCUUCGGCCUUUUUUUCCAGAUUUUUUACUUUGAGAAAAUUAGAGUGCUUCAAGCAGGCUUUUGCCUUGAAUACUUUAGCAUGGAAUAAUAAAGUAGGACUUUGGUUCUAUUUUGUUGGUUUUUGAACCAAAGUAAUGGUUAAUAGGAACAGUUGGGGGCAUUCGUAUUUAACUGUCAGAGGUGAAAUUCUUAGAUUUGUUAAAGACGAACUACUGCGAAAGCAUUUGCCAAGGAUGUUUUCAUUAAUCAAGAACGAAAGUUAGGGGAUCGAAGACGAUCAGAUACCGUCGUAGUCCUAACCAUAAACUAUGCCGACUAGAGAUUGG
This 396-nucleotide ribosomal RNA is filed under the name Theileria bicornis. Its description in RNAcentral is "partial 18S ribosomal RNA". It matches the Rfam family "Eukaryotic small subunit ribosomal RNA", at positions 658 to 1056 of the family's 1831-position model. Lineage: Eukaryota; Apicomplexa; Aconoidasida; Piroplasmida; Theileriidae. The record is from RNAcentral.